This 492-nucleotide ribosomal RNA is filed under the name uncultured bacterium. RNAcentral's name for it is "partial 16S ribosomal RNA". It matches the Rfam family "Bacterial small subunit ribosomal RNA", at positions 29 to 507 of the family's 1533-position model. The record is from RNAcentral.
AGUGAACGCUGGCGGUGGGCCCAACACAUGCAAGUCGAACGGCAGCACAGUAAGAGCUUGCUCUUACGGGUGGCGAGUGGCGGACGGGUGAGGAAUACAUCGGAAUCUACUUUUUCGUGGGGGAUAACGUAGGGAAACUUACGCUAAUACCGCAUACGACCUACGGGUGAAAGCAGGGGAUCUUCGGACCUUGCGCGAUUGAAUGAGCCGAUGUCGGAUUAGCUAGUUGGCGGGGUAAAGGCCCACCAAGGCGACGAUCCGUAGCUGGUCUGAGAGGAUGAUCAGCCACACUGGAACUGAGACACGGUCCAGACUCCUACGGGAGGCAGCAGUGGGGAAUAUUGGACAAUGGGCGCAAGCCUGAUCCAGCCAUACCGCGUGGGUGAAGAAGACCUUCGGGUUGUAAAGCCCUUUUGUUGGGAAAGAAAAGCAGCAGGUUAAUACCCCGCUGUUCUGACGGUACCCAAAGAAUAAGCACCGGCUAACUUCGUG